UGCCAGCCGCCGCGGUAAUACGGAGGGUGCAAGCGUUAAUCGGAAUUACUGGGCGUAAAGCGCGCGUAGGCGGCGGUUUAAGUCAGAUGUGAAAGCCCUCGGCUCAACCGAGGAAUUGCAACGGAUACUGCCAAGCUAGAGUGCAGGAGGGGAGAGUGGAAUUCCUGGUGGAGCGGUGAAAUGCGUAGAUAUCAGGAGGAACGCCGGUGGCGAAAGCGACUCUCUGGCCUGUUACUGACGCUGAGGCCCGAAAGCUAGGGGAGCGAACGGGAUUAGAUA
RNAcentral lists this ribosomal RNA (279 nucleotides) under uncultured bacterium. Its description in RNAcentral is "partial 16S ribosomal RNA". It matches the Rfam family "Bacterial small subunit ribosomal RNA", at positions 506 to 784 of the family's 1533-position model. The record is from RNAcentral.